GUGCCAUCGCACUGGGCAAGGCGCCCGAGCUGCCGGCGCUGGAACUGCCGCAAGGCGACGGCAACCCCAUCGCCGCCAAGCUGCGCGACCACCAGAUGUGGGUGGACGGCAGCUUCCGCCCCGCCGUGAUCUACGACCGCGCCAAGCUGCGCGCCGGCGACCGCAUCCCCGGCCCCGCCGUGGUCUGCGAAAUGGACUCGACCACCGUGAUCCUGGCCGACGCGGCCGGCACCGUCGACGCCCACGGCAACAUCCUGAUCAACCCCGUCUGAAGGAGCACCCCAUGCCCGCACGCAUCAUCGAAACCCAGACGGCGCCGCUGGCGGCCGCCACGGUCGACCCGAUCACGCUGGACAUCCUGGAGAACGCCCUGCGCAACGCGCGCGUCGAGAUGGACGCCACGCUGUUCCGCACCGCGCUGUCGCCCGGCAUUCGCGAACAGGGCGACGCCUUCCCGCUCAUCGCCGACCGCAAGGGCCGCAUGGUGGUGGGCCAGUUCGGCUCCUUCAUCGACGGUUUCCUGCGCAACUACGACGGCGACAUCGAGGAAGGCGACGUCAUCCUGCUGAACGACCCGUACUCGUGCGAGGGCGCCGUCAGCCACAUCAACGACCAGCUGGUCAUCGUGCCGGUGUUCCGCAAGGGCCGGCUGAUGGCCUGGGCCGCGAUGUUCGGCCAUAUGACCGACGUGGGCGGCAAGGUGCCGGGCUCCCUGCCCACCGACGCCGCCACCAUCUUCGAGGAAGGCUUCCGCCUGCCGCCGGUCAAGCUGUACCGCAAGGGCGCGUUGCAGGCCGACAUCCUGAAGAUCGCCGCCCACCAGUCGCGCAUGCCCGAGUGGUACAAGGCCGACCUGCACGCGCUGGUGGCUUCGUGCCGCGUGGCCGCGCGCCGGGUGGAGGAGAUGUGCGAGCGCUUCGGCGACGAGGUGUUCGAUUCCGCGCUGGGCGAGCUGCUGGCGCGCAACCACCGCGCCAUGAAGCACCUGAUCGUUACGCAGAUCGGCGAGGCCCGGGUUUCGUUCGAGGACUACCUGUGCGACGACGGCCGCGGCGCCGGCCCGUUCAAGAUCAAGUGCUCGAUGUGGCGCGAGGGCGAGAAGGUGAUCCUGGACUUCGAGGGCACCGACCCGCAGUCCGACUCGUCGAUCAACUUCUACAUGAACGAGAACAUGUUCAAGAUGUUCUUCGGCAUCUACAUGAUCAUGGUGUUCGACCCGCAGGUGCUGUUCAACGACGGCUUCUACGAUUUGGUCGAGGUGCGCAUCCCCGAAGGCUCGCUGCUCAAGC
RNAcentral lists this unclassified non-coding RNA (1289 nucleotides) under uncultured fungus. Its description in RNAcentral is "sequence contains 18S rRNA gene, ITS1, 5.8S rRNA gene, ITS2, 28S rRNA gene". The record is from RNAcentral. Lineage: Eukaryota; Fungi.